Molecule: ribosomal RNA, 692 nt
Filed under: Oxyrrhis marina
Lineage: Eukaryota; Dinophyceae; Oxyrrhinales; Oxyrrhinaceae
Description: partial Bacterial large subunit ribosomal RNA
Rfam family: Bacterial large subunit ribosomal RNA
Source: RNAcentral
CUCUAAGGCUAAAUACUCGUGAUCGACCGAUAGUGAACCAGUACCGUGAGGGAAAGGUGAAAAGUACCCUGAAUAAGGGGGUGAAAUAGUACCUGAAACCAUACGCUUACAAGCGGUCGGAGCCAACUAGUUUGGUGACGGCGUGCCUUUUGCAUAAUGAGCCUACGAGUUACUCCUCUCUAGCAAGGUUAAGGAUUUAAGGUCCGUAGCCGGAGCGAAAGCGAGUCUGAAUAGGGCGCACUAGUUAGAGGGGGUAGACGCGAAACCUGGUGAUCUACCCAUGGUCAGGUUGAAGUGACAGUAACAUGUCAUGGAGGACCGAACUGAUAUACGUUGAAAAGUGUUCAGAUGAACUGUGGGUAGGGGUGAAAGGCCAAUCAAACCAGGAAAUAGCUCGUACUCCCCGAAAUGUUUUUAGGAACAGCGUGGAGGUUAAGUCUAUUAGAGGUAGAGCUACCAAUAGGACUAGGGGGAGUCAAAUCCUACCAAAUCCUGAUGAACUCCGAAUGCUAAUAGAUAUACUCCGCAGUGAGGGUAAGGGUGCUAAGGUCCUUAUCCGAGAGGGAAAGAACCCAGACCUUCAGCUAAGGUCCCAAAGUGUAUACUAAGUUGAACUAAGGCGGUCCAGUUGCAUAGACAGCCAGGAUGUUGGCUUGGAAGCAGCCAUUCAUUUAAAGAGUGCGUAACAGCUC